GGGUGAGUUAACACGUGGGUACUGCCUGUAAGAUCGGGAUAACUCCGGGAAACCGGGGCUAUACCGGAUAAUUCAUUUCCUCGCAUGAGGAAAUGUUGAAAGGUGGCUUUUAGCUACACUUACAGAUGGACCCGCGGCGCAUUAGCUAGUUGGUGAGGUAACGGCUCACCAAGGCCACGAUGCGUAGCCGACCUGAGAGGUGAUCGGCCACACUGGGAC
RNAcentral lists this ribosomal RNA (219 nucleotides) under Bacillus sp. (in: firmicutes). Its description in RNAcentral is "Bacillus sp. (in: Bacteria) partial 16S ribosomal RNA". It matches the Rfam family "Bacterial small subunit ribosomal RNA", at positions 104 to 319 of the family's 1533-position model. Lineage: Bacteria; Bacillati; Bacillota; Bacilli; Caryophanales; Bacillaceae. The record is from RNAcentral.